This 435-nucleotide long non-coding RNA is filed under the name Glycine max (soybean). Its description in RNAcentral is "long non-coding RNA (GMAX_LNC002764)". Lineage: Eukaryota; Viridiplantae; Streptophyta; Magnoliopsida; Fabales; Fabaceae. The record is from RNAcentral.
UUGCACAUUGCAUUCACUGUCUUUUAUGCUUUCUAUUGUCCAGGUAUUCCCUUUAUUCUCACAUCUUUUUAACUUUUCAACUUGUUGUACUUGUUUGUGUCGUUGGUGUAUCAAAUGCCACUCUCGCUUCUGAUUUUCUUCCUUUCUAUGUUUUUCUAUGGGUUGUGGCUUGAUCAAGAUAUUUUGCAUAGCUGAAGACCAAGGAUUUCACAUUAGAGAUUGUAGCCUGGGAAUUGAAGCAUUGUCUUCAGGUAAGCCCUCUAAAGGUGCUAGUCCAUCGGAUGUCGGGUUUUGGUUGCAACGAUUUGUGCAUUCUGUGCCAGAUGCAUUUUCGUCAGCUUUAUCCUUUUUUGAUAGCUUGACGUCAAAACAUGACAACUUUUCCCUUUUUCCCAGGCUUUACCUUUUUGUUCUAUUGUCGUCAAGAGGUCUUAC